AAUUACCCACUCCCGGCACGGGGAGGUAGUGACGAAAAAUAACGAUACGGGACUCAUCCGAGGCCCCGUAAUCGGAAUGAGUACACUCUAAACCCUUUAACGAGUAUCCAUUGGAGGGCAAGUCUGGUGCCAGCAGCCGCGGUAAUUCCAGCUCCAAUAGCGUAUAUUAAAGUUGUUGCGGUUAAAAAGCUCGUAGUUGGAUUUGUGUCUCACGCUGUCGGUUCACCGUUCGUCGGUGUUAACUGGCAUGCCUGUGCGGACGUCCUGCCGGUGGAUGCGGUCGGCCGUGGGCCUCUGGUCUGCGUGUCGGCGGUCCGAUGCAAUCCUACCGCGGUGCUCUUCACCGAGUGUCGAGGUGGGCCGGCACGUUUACUUUGAACAAAUUAGAGUGCUCAAAGCAGGCAGUGGUUCGCCUGAAUAUUGUGUGCAUGGAAUAAUGGAAUAGGACCUCGGUUCUAUUUUGUUGGUUUUCGGAACCUGAGGUAAUGAUUAAUAGGGACAGACGGGGGCAUUCGUAUUGCGACGUUAGAGGUGAAAUUCUUGGAUCGUCGCAAGACGAACCUAAGCGAAAGCAUUUGCCAUGAGUGUUUUCAUUAAUCAAGAACGAAAGUUAGAGGUUCGAAGGCGAUCAGAUACCGCCCUAGUUCUAACCAUAAACGAUGCCAGCUAGCGAUCCGCCGAAGUUCCUCCGAUGACUCGGCGGGCAGCUUCCGGGAAACCAAAGCUUUUGGGUUCCGGGGGAAGUAUGGUUGCAAAGCUGAAACUUAAAGGAAUUGACGGAAGGGCACCACCAGGAGUGGAGCCUGCGGCUUAAUUUGACUCAACACGGGAAACCUCACCAGGCCCGGACACCGGAAGGAUUGACAGAUUGAUAGCUCUUUCUUGAUUCGGUGGGUGGUGGUGCAUGG
This 908-nucleotide ribosomal RNA is filed under the name Candovia sp. H AC-2020. Its description in RNAcentral is "SSU rRNA". It matches the Rfam family "Eukaryotic small subunit ribosomal RNA", at positions 439 to 1287 of the family's 1831-position model. Lineage: Eukaryota; Metazoa; Arthropoda; Insecta; Phasmatodea; Lonchodidae. The record is from RNAcentral.